This 495-nucleotide ribosomal RNA is filed under the name uncultured bacterium. RNAcentral's name for it is "partial 16S ribosomal RNA". It matches the Rfam family "Bacterial small subunit ribosomal RNA", at positions 28 to 507 of the family's 1533-position model. The record is from RNAcentral.
GACGAACGCUGGCGGCGUGCCUAAUACAUGCAAGUAGAACGCUGAAGGAGGAGCUUGCUCUUCUGGAUGAGUUGCGAACGGGUGAGUAACGCGUAGGUAACCUGCCUGGUAGCGGGGGAUAACUAUAGGAAACGAUAGCUAAUACCGCAUAACAGUAGAUGCUGCAUGACAUUUGCUUAAAAGGUGCAAUUGCACCACUACCAGAUGGACCUGCGUUGUAUUAGCUAGUUGGUGGGGUAACGGCUCACCAAGGCGACGAUACAUAGCCGACCUGAGAGGGUGAUCGGCCACACUGGGACUGAGACACGGCCCAGACUCCUACGGGAGGCAGCAGUAGGGAAUCUUCGGCAAUGGACGGAAGUCUGACCGAGCAACGCCGCGUGAGUGAAGAAGGUUUUCGGAUCGUAAAGCUCUGUUGUAAGAGAAGAACGAGUGUGAGAGUGGAAAGUUCACACUGUGACGGUAUCUUACCAGAAAGGGACGGCUAACUACGUG